Fundulus heteroclitus (mummichog) is the source of this 260-nucleotide long non-coding RNA. RefSeq lists it as uncharacterized. NCBI's taxonomy places the organism in Eukaryota, Metazoa, Chordata, Actinopteri, Cyprinodontiformes, Fundulidae. The transcript is spliced from 2 exons. The record is from RefSeq and is a predicted model, not a curated record.
GCGACGAAUUUUUCUCAGGCUGGAGAAGCGCAGUGGAGAGACAAGGCCGAUGUACCGCUGCAUCAACUUAAAUGCACAACAUCUCCCUGGGAGCCGGUGACAUCAUGGCCCCAUACGAUGAAGUGCAGGACGACAUGCCAGAGGAUGAGGAGGGGGAGAACGUGUUGGAGGCAGUCAGUGGUGCUCCCUGGCGGGACCAGCUGUCUGCCGAGGUGUCUGCCCUGGAGGAGGGUCUACCCGACCACGAUUACAUUUAGAUG